Molecule: long non-coding RNA, 651 nt
Organism: Contarinia nasturtii (swede midge)
Lineage: Eukaryota; Metazoa; Arthropoda; Insecta; Diptera; Cecidomyiidae
Exons: 3
Source: RefSeq, a predicted model, not a curated record
CAUACACAUGCGUAUAUGUGUUGAUUUCUAUCUACGCCUACUAAAAUACUUCAGUCACAUUCCAACAGUCAAUAACAUCGGACGCAUAUUCCAGUGUGACUCCUGGACCAUUAAUUUUUCUAGUAAAUUCAUAGAGUUUUUAUUCUAUGGAUGGGAUAUCAAUUUUCCAUCGACCCAUUCAAUUCGAACAACAUAUUGAAUUCGAAUGGAAUGCGUGGAAAAAAAAUGAAUUCUAAUUUAAAAAAGCAAAAAGGUUGAAAGGGUCGGUUUUAAAGAUCUACCAGGUCUUGAACACAAACGAAUGAGUACUGUUAGCAUGUUAGUAUAAUUAAUAGCUAACCUAGUGAGAUCAACGUGGGAAGCUGAUUUUUGAGCUAUUUACAACUUAACAUACAAAAUUGUUCUUACUUCACUAGGUUUUGAACUCACAACCGUGUGCAUUCAAAGCCGUUGACUAGACAUUUCGACCAUUUUAUCCUCGAGUUGUGCACAAACUAAAUGUAUAUUCGAAUAUUUAAGCAUAACACAGCAAUAAAUCAUCGAAUAGAACGUCAAAAAUUGUCCACUUCAUAAUCAAUGCAAAAUAAUUUCUGUCAUAGAUACCCAUCGGCUACAUUAAUGAUGUUAAUAAAGUGCAUUUUUUAUUGAAAA